AUCACUUCUCGGCCUUUUGGCUAAGAUCAAGUGUAGUAUACAGACACUAGUCACUGAAUUUAGAGCCCACUCCAAUAAUUCAGCAUCAAUCUACUCAUCUGAAAUCCCUAAUACAGAGGAAACUUGUUUUCCCAAUGAGGUCCUAGUCUCAGAUUCCAAGGAUUAGGCUUUGG
Oryctolagus cuniculus (rabbit) is the source of this 173-nucleotide small nuclear RNA. Its record names the gene U2. It matches the Rfam family "U2 spliceosomal RNA". From Rfam's summary of the family: U2 is a small nuclear RNA (snRNA) component of the spliceosome (involved in pre-mRNA splicing). Complementary binding between U2 snRNA (in an area lying towards the 5' end but 3' to hairpin I) and the branchpoint sequence (BPS) of the intron results the bulging out of an unpaired adenosine, on the BPS, which initiates a nucleophilic attack at the intronic 5' splice site, thus starting the first of two transesterification reactions that mediate splicing. NCBI's taxonomy places the organism in Eukaryota, Metazoa, Chordata, Mammalia, Lagomorpha, Leporidae. The record is from Ensembl.